UGGGGAAUAUUGCGCAAUGGGGGCAACCCUGACGCAGCAACGCCGCGUGCGGGACGACGGCCUUCGGGUUGUAAACCGCUUUCAGCAGGGAAGAUAGUGACGGUACCUGCACAAGAAGCCCCGGCUAACUACGUGCCAGCAGCCGCGGUAAUACGUAGGGGGCGAGCGUUAUCCGGAUUCAUUGGGCGUAAAGCGCGCGCAGGCGGCUCUUCAAGCGGAACCUCUAACCCCGGGGCUGAACCUCGGGCCGGGUUCCGAACUGGAGGGCUCGAGUGCGGUAGAGGCAGGCGGAAUUCACGGUGUAGCGGUGGAAGGCGCAGAUAUCGGGAAGAACACCGAUGGCGAAGGCAGCCUGCUGGGCCGGCACUGACGCUGAGGCGCGAAAGCUAGGGGAGCGAACAGG
RNAcentral lists this ribosomal RNA (403 nucleotides) under Verrucomicrobiota bacterium. RNAcentral describes it as "Verrucomicrobia bacterium partial 16S ribosomal RNA". It matches the Rfam family "Bacterial small subunit ribosomal RNA", at positions 355 to 776 of the family's 1533-position model. Lineage: Bacteria; Pseudomonadati; Verrucomicrobiota. The record is from RNAcentral.